This 276-nucleotide unclassified non-coding RNA is filed under the name fungal sp. Its description in RNAcentral is "partial internal transcribed spacer region". The stretch from base 1 to 46 matches the Rfam family "Eukaryotic small subunit ribosomal RNA", at positions 1786 to 1831 of the family's 1831-position model. The record is from RNAcentral. Lineage: Eukaryota; Fungi.
AAGUCGUAACAAGGUUUCCGUAGGUGAACCUGCGGAAGGAUCAUUAAUGAAACUUCAAGUCGGCUAUUCUGUGCUGGUGGCAACACAUGUGCACGUUCAGUCGCAAUCCACACACCUGUGCACUUUGACUCUGAGCACCGCCGGUAACACGGCAGAAGGUUUGAGAUGAAGGUCUUAACCUGGUACUCGAGUAGUUUACACACUCUGUAUGUAAUAGAAUGUAACUGUACAAUGUACAACUAUAAACAACUUUCAACAACGGAUCUCUUGGCUCUC